This 119-nucleotide small RNA is filed under the name Staphylococcus epidermidis. RNAcentral's name for it is "Ribosomal protein L20 leader". It matches the Rfam family "Ribosomal protein L20 leader". Rfam says of the family: This family is a putative r-protein leader autoregulatory structure found in B. subtilis and other low-GC Gram-positive bacteria. Lineage: Bacteria; Bacillati; Bacillota; Bacilli; Caryophanales; Staphylococcaceae. The record is from RNAcentral.
AACCAAGUAGAAGCACCCGCUUCUCACCUGUGGCGACGCUGAAGCAGUUGGCAGGUCAAUCAUGUUACACAUUUAUUGUGUCUAAGAAGAGCGGGUAGUUAUACUCGCUCUUCUUUUUG